Molecule: long non-coding RNA, 431 nt
Organism: Populus nigra (black poplar)
Lineage: Eukaryota; Viridiplantae; Streptophyta; Magnoliopsida; Malpighiales; Salicaceae
Exons: 2
Source: RefSeq, a predicted model, not a curated record
GGAAUCCGAAGCCAGACCUUCAUCGUGUCAUAUGCAGCGAAGCCAAUUGCCACAGAAGGAACGAUCUGGCAAUAGGCAGCGAAACGAUGCUAUUAACUACAAACUCACUGUGAAUCCAGCUUAAAGAGCAAUCACAAGGUUACACCAAGUUUGACAUGCUUUUCCUACCAAUAUUGAACUGUGAAGAGGCAUAUGAUGAUCAAGUGGUCAAGCACAUGGUCAAUUCAGGAACCACAAAAUCUAUCAUCUAGGAUACAUUCCAGAAGCAGCAAUCACUCAUACCGGAGUUCAUGUAAACAGGGUUACAGCAAGUGCCCUAUAGACUAAAGUUCACUCCCUGUAUAGCUGUACUAUGAUAAUUUUCUACAUCCUACAGUAAUAGUCAUGUCUAGAAUAGCCAGCUAAAUGAGGAUUGCACAUGUUUUGUGAUA